UUAAGCGACUAAGCGUACACGGUGGAUGCCCUGGCAGUCAGAGGCGAUGAAGGACGUGCUAAUCUGCAAUAAGCGUCGGUGAGGUGAUAUGAACCGUUAUAACCGGCGAUUUCCGAAUGGGGAAACCCAGUGUGUUUCGACACACUAUCAUUAACUGAAUCCAUAGGUUAAUGAGGCGAACCGGGGGAACUGAAACAUCUAAGUACCCCGAGGAAAAGAAAUCAACCGAGAUUCCCCCAGUAGCGGCGAGCGAACGGGGAGGAGCCCAGAGCCUGAAUCAGUGUGUGUGUUAGUGGAAGCGUCUGGAAAGGCGUGCGAUACAGGGUGACAGCCCCGUACACAAAAAUGCACAUAUUGUGAGCUCGAUGAGUAGGGCGGGACACGUGGUAUCCUGUCUGAAUAUGGGGGGACCAUCCUCCAAGGCUAAAUACUCCUGACUGACCGAUAGUGAACCAGUACCGUGAGGGAAAGGCGAAAAGAACCCCGGCGAGGGGAGUGAAAAAGAACCUGAAACCGUGUACGUACAAGCAGUGGGAGCCUCUUAAUGGGGUGACUGCGUACCUUUUGUAUAAUGGGUCAGCGACUUAUAUUCUGUAGCAAGGUUAACCGAAUAGGGGAGCCGAAGGGAAACCGAGUCUUAACUGGGCGUUAAGUUGCAGGGUAUAGACCCGAAACCCGGUGAUCUAGCCAUGGGCAGGUUGAAGGUUGGGUAACACUAACUGGAGGACCGAACCGACUAAUGUUGAAAAAUUAGCGGAUGACUUGUGGCUGGGGGUGAAAGGCCAAUCAAACCGGGAGAUAGCUGGUUCUCCCCGAAAGCUAUUUAGGUAGCGCCUCGUGAAUUCAUCUCCGGGGGUAGAGCACUGUUUCGGCAAGGGGGUCAUCCCGACUUACCAACCCGAUGCAAACUGCGAAUACCGGAGAAUGUUAUCACGGGAGACACACGGCGGGUGCUAACGUCCGUCGUGAAGAGGGAAACAACCCAGACCGCCAGCUAAGGUCCCAAAGUCAUGGUUAAGUGGGAAACGAUGUGGGAAGGCCCAGACAGCCAGGAUGUUGGCUUAGAAGCAGCCAUCAUUUAAAGAAAGCGUAAUAGCUCACUGGUCGAGUCGGCCUGCGCGGAAGAUGUAACGGGGCUAAACCAUGCACCGAAGCUGCGGCAGCGACACUAUGUGUUGUUGGGUAGGGGAGCGUUCUGUAAGCCUGUGAAGGUGGCCUGUGAGGGUUGCUGGAGGUAUCAGAAGUGCGAAUGCUGACAUAAGUAACGAUAAAGCGGGUGAAAAGCCCGCUCGCCGGAAGACCAAGGGUUCCUGUCCAACGUUAAUCGGGGCAGGGUGAGUCGACCCCUAAGGCGAGGCCGAAAGGCGUAGUCGAUGGGAAACAGGUUAAUAUUCCUGUACUUGGUGUUACUGCGAAGGGGGGACGGAGAAGGCUAUGUUGGCCGGGCGACGGUUGUCCCGGUUUAAGCGUGUAGGCUGGUUUUCCAGGCAAAUCCGGAAAACCAAGGCUGAGGCGUGAUGACGAGGCACUACGGUGCUGAAGCGACAAAUGCCCUGCUUCCAGGAAAAGCCUCUAAGCAUCAGGUAACAUCAAAUCGUACCCAAAACCGACACAGGUGGUCAGGUAGAGAAUACCAAGGCGCUUGAGAGAACUCGGGUGAAGGAACUAGGCAAAAUGGUGCCGUAACUUCGGGAGAAGGCACGCUGAUAUGUAGGUGAAGCGACUUGCUCGUGGAGCUGAAAUCAGUCGAAGAUACCAGCUGGCUGCAACUGUUUAUUAAAAACACAGCACUGUGCAAACACGAAAGUGGACGUAUACGGUGUGACGCCUGCCCGGUGCCGGAAGGUUAAUUGAUGGGGUUAGCGGUAACGCGAAGCUCUUGAUCGAAGCCCCGGUAAACGGCGGCCGUAACUAUAACGGUCCUAAGGUAGCGAAAUUCCUUGUCGGGUAAGUUCCGACCUGCACGAAUGGCGUAAUGAUGGCCAGGCUGUCUCCACCCGAGACUCAGUGAAAUUGAACUCGCUGUGAAGAUGCAGUGUACCCGCGGCAAGACGGAAAGACCCCGUGAACCUUUACUAUAGCUUGACACUGAACAUUGAGCCUUGAUGUGUAGGAUAGGUGGGAGGCUUUGAAGUGUGGACGCCAGUCUGCAUGGAGCCGACCUUGAAAUACCACCCUUUAAUGUUUGAUGUUCUAACGUUGGCCCGUAAUCCGGGUUGCGGACAGUGUCUGGUGGGUAGUUUGACUGGGGCGGUCUCCUCCUAAAGAGUAACGGAGGAGCACGAAGGUUGGCUAAUCCUGGUCGGACAUCAGGAGGUUAGUGCAAUGGCAUAAGCCAGCUUGACUGCGAGCGUGACGGCGCGAGCAGGUGCGAAAGCAGGUCAUAGUGAUCCGGUGGUUCUGAAUGGAAGGGCCAUCGCUCAACGGAUAAAAGGUACUCCGGGGAUAACAGGCUGAUACCGCCCAAGAGUUCAUAUCGACGGCGGUGUUUGGCACCUCGAUGUCGGCUCAUCACAUCCUGGGGCUGAAGUAGGUCCCAAGGGUAUGGCUGUUCGCCAUUUAAAGUGGUACGCGAGCUGGGUUUAGAACGUCGUGAGACAGUUCGGUCCCUAUCUGCCGUGGGCGCUGGAGAACUGAGGGGGGCUGCUCCUAGUACGAGAGGACCGGAGUGGACGCAUCACUGGUGUUCGGGUUGUCAUGCCAAUGGCACUGCCCGGUAGCUAAAUGCGGAAGAGAUAAGUGCUGAAAGCAUCUAAGCACGAAACUUGCCCCGAGAUGAGUUCUCCCUGACUCCUUGAGGGUCCUGAAGGAACGUUGAAGACGACGACGUUGAUAGGCCGGGUGUGUAAGCGCAGCGAUGCGUUGAGCUAACCGGUACUAAUGAACCGUGAGGCUUAACCUU
RNAcentral lists this ribosomal RNA (2902 nucleotides) under Escherichia coli HVH 74 (4-1034782). RNAcentral describes it as "bacterial LSU rRNA". It matches the Rfam family "Bacterial large subunit ribosomal RNA". The record is from RNAcentral. Lineage: Bacteria; Pseudomonadati; Pseudomonadota; Gammaproteobacteria; Enterobacterales; Enterobacteriaceae.